GAUUUUAGAUGACCAAGCCAGGCUGUGGUGGCAUACGCCUUUAAUCCCAGCACUCAGGAGAUAGAGGCAGGUGGAUCUCGGUGAGUUCAAGGCCAGCCUGGUCUACACAGUGAGUUGCAGGACAGCCAUAGGAAACCCUGUCUAGAAAAGCCAAGGUGGGGAGGGGUGGGCAGUAAAAGAUGUUAGAUUCCACCUUAGGAAGCAUAGCAGACACUAGAGACCCUGUGACCUCAAACUCGAGACAUCUCACACACUCACGCACAUGUCCCUAUGUGGACAACUAAGGAAAACAGACAGGCGAGCAUCUGAUGAUGGGUCAGCGCGCCCCGUUAGAAAACAAAGUGACCCUGCUGACCACAGCCGCUCUACACUCUCAACCUGCUGCCAUUACAGGCGAGGCCGUCCACCUAGCCCGGGACUUUGCCUACGUCUGCGAAGCUGAGUUUCCCAGUAAAGCAGUGGCUGACUAUUUAACCAGACCGCAUCUUGGGGGACGGAACGAGAUGGCCGCUAGGAAGAGUGUGUUGUUGGCAGCACAGUGAGUAUUUGGCCCGUACAGACCCUGGGGCUCGAAACUCAAAAGCUGCUGUAGUGGGCACUGGCCAGAGCUUUGCGGGAAUCUCCAAUAGAGUUCAGAGGAAGGAAUUGCUCCACCCUAGGUGGCACAGAGCUGCUGACAUCACAGCAGUCACAGCACCCUGGUGAUUGACUGCACUUGGGUAUGUGCAAGAAUUCCUGUAGCUCA
This 745-nucleotide long non-coding RNA is filed under the name Rattus norvegicus (Norway rat). RNAcentral's name for it is "long non-coding RNA NONRATT018938". The record is from RNAcentral. Lineage: Eukaryota; Metazoa; Chordata; Mammalia; Rodentia; Muridae.